UACGUAGGGUGCGAGCGUUAAUCGGAAUUACUGGGCGUAAAGCGUGCGCAGGCGGUUCGCUAAGACCGAUGUGAAAUCCCCGGGCUUAACCUGGGAACUGCAUUGGUGACUGGCGAGCUAGAGUGUGGCAGAGGGGGGUAGAAUUCCACGUGUAGCAGUGAAAUGCGUAGAGAUGUGGAGGAACACCGAUGGCGAAGGCAGCCCCCUGGGUCAAGACUGACGCUCAUGCACGAAAGCGUGGGGAGCAAACAGG
RNAcentral lists this ribosomal RNA (253 nucleotides) under uncultured bacterium. Its description in RNAcentral is "partial 16S ribosomal RNA". It matches the Rfam family "Bacterial small subunit ribosomal RNA", at positions 524 to 776 of the family's 1533-position model. The record is from RNAcentral.